Molecule: long non-coding RNA, 626 nt
Organism: Juglans regia (Persian walnut)
Lineage: Eukaryota; Viridiplantae; Streptophyta; Magnoliopsida; Fagales; Juglandaceae
Exons: 2
Source: RefSeq, a predicted model, not a curated record
GUAAUAAAUGAAACGACACGUCGAGGGAGAAAAAUCUUAACUUAUGAAGUGGUGCGUAUCGUCUCAGACUUAACCAAAACGAGAUCCUCCUCUGCCAUUCCCUUCUCUUCUCUUCUCUUAUAUUCUCUUGCAUCAGAACCCGUCCUCUAGCCAAAGACGACGUCUUCUGCCAUUCCCUUCUCUAUCGUUCUCCUCGGCUCCAACUGUAAAAAAGAAAUCAGGCAGACAAGUAGAGACCUUCUGCACUUGGAGCGCCAGAACCCCUCCACCACACCACUGGAGUCCUAUGCUGGGUGUUGGAGAGCUCUGACGAUGUGGUUGCGACCAUGGCAGCGGCCGUGACAACUCAAGCAGGCGCCGAGGCUAACGACGUUAGAUCAAACUCCAGUGAAGAAGAUAAGGAUGACCGAAGUAAUUACUGUGGAAACCGGUGGCCAUGACAGGAAACUUUGGCACUCUUGAAGAUACGGUUGGAUGCGGAUAUGAGCUUCAGGGAUGCAAAUGUUUAAAUGACUUAUUCAUGUUUAUCUUUAUCUUCAUCUUCACAUUUGUAUAAUGUUUCUAAAUUCAUCUACAUUAACUUAUGCAUCUCUAAAUUUUUAUAUAAUUAUGAAUAGUGCUUCAUU